Molecule: ribosomal RNA, 465 nt
Filed under: uncultured bacterium
Lineage: Bacteria
Description: partial 16S ribosomal RNA
Rfam family: Bacterial small subunit ribosomal RNA
Source: RNAcentral
GACGAACGCUGGCGGCGUGCUUAACACAUGCAAGUCGAACGGAAAGGCCCUGCUUGCAGGGUACUCGAGUGGCGAACGGGUGAGUAACACGUGGGUGAUCUGCCCUGCACUUCGGGAUAAGCCUGGGAAACUGGGUCUAAUACCGGAUAGGAGCCAUUUUUAGUGUGAUGGUUGGAAAGUUUUUUCGGUGUAGGAUGAGCUCGCGGCCUAUCAGCUUGUUGGUGGGGUAAUGGCCUACCAAGGCGGCGACGGGUAGCCGGCCUGAGAGGGUGGACGGCCACAUUGGGACUGAGAUACGGCCCAGACUCCUACGGGAGGCAGCAGUGGGGAAUAUUGCACAAUGGGCGCAAGCCUGAUGCAGCGACGCCGCGUGGGGGAUGACGGCCUUCGGGUUGUAAACUCCUUUCGCUAGGGACGAAACUUUUUGUGACGGUACCUAGAUAAGAAGCACCGGCUAACUACGUG